CAUCCCCAGACCUAGCGCAUCCUACCAGACUCAAUUGUUGCCCCUCCUUUUGCUGAUCAUAGAGAGACAGAUAGGGAGAGUGAUCGUUGGUGAGGAAUAGAGGGGGUGGUUAGGUCGAGCAGCGCCGGUGCCUUCCUGCUGGAGGAGGAGGAAGACAGUACUAGAAGAACCAGCAAAAAAUGGAUCAAGGAGAAGGGGUUGAAGAUGUACUAGUUCAUCUUGUGCCCGCUAUCUCUUCGUGAUUCUUCAGGCCAAAACCUUAGGUGGCAGUGCUCCAGAUCGCACUUGAAGUGGUUGUCACCUUUGAUCGGAGGCAAAGUAAUUGUAGCAUUGAUUUGCUACUGUUUUGGCUUGUUAUUUUCCUCACCUGAACUUUAAUUCAUAGCUGUGGCUGAUCUAAACAUGGUGGACUUAUCUAUGUUAAAUCUUUUCAAAUAAUUGUCCUAUGUUGUUUUCUCACAUGAGAAUGAUGAUGAAGUAAAGAGUUGAUAAUAUUUGUCAAUGCAUCAUGUCAUGUGCAUUUGCAUUUAUAUGCAUUUGAAGCAGAUCGCGAUCCUAUGGUUGCGAUAGUACCGGUACACAUCGUGCGUUGCCCG
Molecule: long non-coding RNA, 596 nt
Organism: Panicum virgatum (switchgrass)
Lineage: Eukaryota; Viridiplantae; Streptophyta; Magnoliopsida; Poales; Poaceae
Exons: 3
Source: RefSeq, a predicted model, not a curated record